AGCAGCCGCGGUAAUUCCAGCUCCAAUAGCGUAUAUUAAAGUUGUUGCAGUUAAAAAGCUCGUAGUUGAAUUUCGGGGUCAGCAGGUUGGUCGUGCCACUGGUAUGUACUGGCCUUGCUGAUUCCUCCUUCUUGUAGAACCGUAAUGCCAUUAAGUUGGUGUUGCGGGAAAACAGGACUGUUACUUUGAAAAAAUUAGAGUGUUUAAAGCAGGCUAACGCUUGAAUACAUUAGCAUGGAAUAAUGAAAUAGGACGACGAUCCUAUUUUGUUGGUCUCUAGGAUUGACGUAAUGAUUAAUAGGGAUAGUUGGGGGCAUUAGUAUUCAAUUGUCAGAGGUGAAAUUCUUGGAUUUAUUGAAGACUGACUACUGCGAAAGCAUUUGCCAAGGAUGUUUUCAUUAAUCAAGAACGAAAGUUAGGGGAUCGAAGACGAUCAGAUACCGUCGUAGUCUUAACCAUAAACUAUGCCGACUAGGGAUCGGAUGAUGUUAAUUUUUUAAUGACUCA
This 507-nucleotide ribosomal RNA is filed under the name uncultured Glomus. RNAcentral describes it as "SSU rRNA". It matches the Rfam family "Eukaryotic small subunit ribosomal RNA", at positions 569 to 1078 of the family's 1831-position model. The record is from RNAcentral. Lineage: Eukaryota; Fungi; Glomeromycota; Glomeromycetes; Glomerales; Glomeraceae.